Molecule: ribosomal RNA, 520 nt
Filed under: Prorocentrum borbonicum
Lineage: Eukaryota; Dinophyceae; Prorocentrales; Prorocentraceae
Description: eukaryotic LSU rRNA
Rfam family: Eukaryotic large subunit ribosomal RNA
Source: RNAcentral
CGGGAAGAGCUCAGUUUGGAAUUUGGGUCCCUGGCUCAGAGUUGUAGUCUUGUGAUGCGAUACCAGCGGGGGUGUGGAUGUAGGCCUUCUGGAGGGAAGUACGCUCAAGGGUGAGAGUCCCGUCUGUCAUCUGUGGUCCUCUGUGCACAGUUCGUCCUCGCCGAGUCACGCUCCUUGAAAGUGGAGCGCAAAGGUGGUGGUAAACUUCAUCUCAAGCUAAAGACAGGUGUGAGCCCGAUAGGAAACAAGUACCAUGAGGGAAAGGUGAAAAGGACUUUGGAAAGAGAGUUUAAAGUGCCUGAAAUUGCUGAGAAGGAAGUGAAUGGAGCUAGUGAUUCUAGGGUUGAAUCUUCUUGCGUGUUCCUGUGACCGCGUUGCUGCAGCAAUGCAAAGGCUGCAGUGCUGGUGAGCAUCAAGGGCGCAGUGUCUUCGGCCCUGUCUGCCUGUGCCAGUUUGCUGGGAGGGAAGACUGUGGGGGUAUGGUGGUUUGUCUCUGGGCGGAUGAAAGUGCCCUGUGGAG